RNAcentral lists this ribosomal RNA (783 nucleotides) under uncultured Neocallimastigales. RNAcentral describes it as "partial large subunit ribosomal RNA". It matches the Rfam family "Eukaryotic large subunit ribosomal RNA", at positions 23 to 639 of the family's 3401-position model. Lineage: Eukaryota; Fungi; Neocallimastigomycota; Neocallimastigomycetes; Neocallimastigales. The record is from RNAcentral.
AGAGAUGUGUGAUGACGCAUAUCAAUAAGCGGAGGAAAAGAAACUAACAAGGAUUCCCUUAGUAACGGCGAGUGAAGCGGGAAGAGCUCAAAUUUGAAAUCUUCAAGGGUUUACCUUUACGAAUUGUAGUUUAAAGAAGUGUUUUCUGUUGGAGUUUCGGUAAAAGUUCUUUGGAAUAGGACAUCAUAGAGGGUGAGAAUCCCGUAUUUGACCAGUUACUUUCCAGCUGUGUGAUACACUUUCAAAGAGUCGGAUUGUUUGGGAAUGCAGUCCAAAAUGGGUGGUAAAUUUCAUCUAAAGCUGAAUAUUGGCGAGAGACCGAUAGCGAACAAGUACCGUGAGGGAAAGAUGAAAAGAACUUUGAAAAGAGAGUUAAACAGUACGUGAAAUUGUCAAAAGGGAAGCGUUUGACACCAGUGUUGUUUUCUCGAAAAUCAAUUAAGAAUGUUGUAUUUUGUAGAAUUGUAUUGACUUUAUCAGGCUUUCUGCACUUUUCUUAUGAACUUUUUUAAUGCACUUUUCGGUUAACAAGUCAACAUCAAUUUCUUUUGUUGUAAAAGGUCAGUAGGAAGGUGGCUUUGCGCUUCGGAUAAAGUGUUUAUAGCCUUUGCUCUCUGCAAUCGGAGAGAUUGAGGUCUGCAGCGUAGAUCCUUCGGGGUUAGAUACAUUUGUGCUAAGCUAUAGUUCUUUCAUAGACAACUUGUUGACUAUAGUCAAGUCCUGUAGCUUACUCGCUUAUGCUAUUUUACCUACGCUUAGGAUGUUGAAGAUGUAGCACAUCAU